RNAcentral lists this ribosomal RNA (455 nucleotides) under uncultured bacterium. Its description in RNAcentral is "bacterial SSU rRNA". It matches the Rfam family "Bacterial small subunit ribosomal RNA", at positions 29 to 524 of the family's 1533-position model. The record is from RNAcentral.
AACGAACGCUGGCGGCAGGCCUCAAACAUGCAAGUCUAGGGGGUGUAGCAAUACAUCACCGGCGGACGGGUGCGUAACGCGUGGGAAUAUACCUAUCGAUUCGGAACAACUGAGGGAAACUUCAGCUAAUACCGAAUACGUCCUAACGGAGAAAGAUUUAUCGUCGAUAGAUUAGCCCGCGUUCGAUUAGCUAGUUGGUGGGGUAACGGCCCACCAAGGCGACGAUCGAUAGCUGUUCUGAGAGGAAGAUCAGCCACACUGGGACUGAGACACGGCCCAGACUCCUACGGGAGGCAGCAGUUGGGAAUCUUGGACAAUGGGGGGAAACCCUGAUCCAGCCAUGCCGCGUGAGUGAUGAAGGCCUUCGGGUUGUAAAACUACUUUCGUCGCACGACGAUAAUGACGGUAGUGCGAGAAGAAGCUCCGGCUAACUUCGUGCCAGCAGCCGCGGUAAU